GUCAUUGUAAUUAUAUAUAUCAUGGUGAGGGCCCUUCCGCUGGUAAGGAAAACUUAGAUAUUUUGCGUAUUAUAUAUUUUUGAUUGAUGUAACAUUUGUUUUCCCCUGACAAAAAGUAAUGUUUGUUUCAUGUUCUUAUUCAGUAAAAAUGUGCACAGCACAAUCUCAAAUUUUAUGCAAAAGCUCAGAUGGCAAUAGUUCCUACACUCAUGUUAUCCAAUAUAAACUGUUGAAUGAUUGAUACAAUUUGAAGGUGAGAUACAAGAACAUCAUAACAUUGAUAUUCUCGUCGUAUGUAUAUGACUACUAUAUAUUCCCGAAACCUCACCUCUAAACUGAGUUUAGUGCAGUUUUUUUAUUUUUUGAAAUACAGGUACUUCUCAAUUUUUGUACUAAUUUUCUAUUUUGGGGAAAGCCACAUAUGUUUCCAACAAUAGAAUGAUGUGUGAUGGUCAUCACACAAACUCCUGGCCAGGUGCCUUUCACAUCUUAUCUUGUUUGUAAUAUAUAUAUUCUCCUUAAAUUGUUAACACAAUGAGCAUAUAGAUGUAGCUGGUUCAUCAACGUAAACAUCAAAAGUAUUCCUCUUAUGCAGUCUGCUUCCCUGACAUGCAGGGCACACUAAGGUGGUGGGAAGAUACAUACAACCGUUAACUUGACGGCUAAGCGAUCAGAUGCGGCGAUUGUGUGAGUGUGUCAGGUACGUCGAAUUCACUUAUCCCAAACUAUUGGAAGUUACUAGGAUCUCCUCUUCUCUGUAAUACUUAUGGCCUUCUCCUCUACCUAUUGGGGCAACAGUUUGGAUAUCCAGCAACCAUGGUGACAAAUACGUGCAUACUGGAACUGUUCCAAGUUUCCAUUUUCUCAGUAAACAAGUGAACUAAGAAAGUGAAUCCUAUUUAAUAAAUGUAGGCAUAUACUAAUACGGUGGCACAACUUAGUCUGCAUGAAUGUUCUGGUCUUCUAAAUUUUUAGUAUAAUGUUGAGUACUUUAGUUGGAGUCCAUGCUAGUUUAGCUAGCCAAGUUGAGUCUAAUAAGGCUAGGUCGAUUAGUUAGUUUUCCACCAUUGCAAGUCGUAAGCAUGUGUGCUCAUGGAUGGGUCGUAGUCUGUAGAUGAUUCAAUGAUUUUGCAUAGGUAGCAGCGUACGUGAUGUACUAGUAUGCCUUGGAGUUGGUGUGCCUUACUAGUCUAGGAAAAGGGCGCUCGAGUCCAAGUCGUUUUAGAUGCAAAGUCAGAGUAGGUUUAGGUUGUUCCGGCCAUGUAGCAGGUCAUAGUUGUGGAAGCAGGUCGUAUAAGAGUUUUUCCAUAGAAAACAAGGUCAUGUAAGAGCUUUCAGACAAGAAUAAAGAGUACGCUAAAGUUUCUUUCAUGCGCAUGUGUUUGGCUAUUUUGAUGUGAUAGAUUCUGUGGACAAAACAGAACAUAGAUUACUAAUCCAUAUGCCAAAUCAGCAGGUUACAGAAACUUGAUUGUUCCAAGUCAAUGUUGUUGGCACUAAAACCUAAAAGACUACUGGUGCCAAGCUGGAUUUGCUAGGAGGUAUUUUCUGAUAUUACUUCUAUAUUGCCUGAAUGAUUCUUCACCAAUUCGAAUGGAAAUUUUGGAUUAUUAAUAGCAUUACUUGAAUAUAUUUUUAUUAUCACACAUGCUUCUGUUCUUUUACCUAAUUCGUACAAGAGAACACUUUUCUUCCAUGUUACAAUGGUCAUACACUCAUACUGCGUCUCUAAGAUAAGACUCUUUGCCGCUAGAUUAGGUAAAAUAAUUCAUCAACUCCUGUAUGCCUUCCUUACAUUCCCUCACUUCCUAUAUAACACUCUGUUUCUAUAAACAUGGUGAAACUUGAUAAUGGAAUGAGCUGAGUUACUUUACUGUAAACUAAAAUGACUACGUUCGGCUACAAAAGUGAUACUUGACAAGUUCAAACAAGAGCGCUGCUCUUACUACAACCCAACGUAUCAACCAAGAAUAUAAAGGUAAAAUUGACGGUGUUAAACUUGGUAAUGAAUUCCUUAUAUUCCGAAUUGAUCUUACAUUAGCAAAAUCUGGUAAGUUUAUACAACUAAUAAAAAGUCAAAAUUACUGGCGAUAUAGCUAGAUUAAUUAUCACAUGGCCUUCAACCUUUCUAUGUUGCUCCUCUUUUUCAAUUUUACUGCCCUAUUAACCUAUCUCAUUUCUUUGUGUAGAUUGCAAGAUAAAUCGGUGAUGCAUCGUCAGAUGUUGAUUGCAAGGUCAAGAACAUGGGUGCAACUAGAUAGUUUCACAUUGUGUUUCAGAAUGUCAUUUUCAUUGUCGAUGUGUCAAUCAUUAUGAUUCAGGCAUUUUCGGUGUCAAUGUUUAGAUCAUUAUGUUUCAAAAUGGCUGAGACGUUGGUUGCAAGAUCAAGAAUAGGACCAGUACUAGUUUCACAUCUUGUAAUCUUUGUAUCCAGAUCCUUGUAAUGCAACCAAGUUGACUUAAUAUAUGAGACAGUUCUGUUUGUUAUACUGCGUGCCCUAUGCAUUAUUGGCAUU
RNAcentral lists this long non-coding RNA (2516 nucleotides) under Triticum aestivum (bread wheat). RNAcentral describes it as "long non-coding RNA (TAES_LNC022505)". The record is from RNAcentral. Lineage: Eukaryota; Viridiplantae; Streptophyta; Magnoliopsida; Poales; Poaceae.